AACGAACGCUGGCGGCAUGCCUAACACAUGCAAGUCGAACGAGACCUUCGGGUCUAGUGGCGCACGGGUGUGUAACGCGUGGGAACCUUCCCUUAGGUUCGGAAUAACUCUCCGAAAGGGGUGCUAAUACCGGAUAAUGUCUUAGGACCAAAGAUUUAUCGCCUUUGGAUGGGCCCGCGUUGGAUUAGCUUUUUGGUAGGGUAAUAGCCUACCAAGGCGACGAUCCAUAGCUGGUUUGAGAGGAUGAUCAGCCACACUGGGACUGAGACACGGCCCAGACUCCUACGGGAGGCAGCAGUGGGGAAUAUUGGACAAUGGGCGAAAGCCUGAUCCAGCAAUGCCGCGUGAGUGAUGAAGGCCUUAGGGUUGUAAAGCUCUUUUACCCGGGAUGAUAAUGACAGUACCGGGAGAAUAAGCUCCGGCUAACUCCGUG
This 433-nucleotide ribosomal RNA is filed under the name uncultured bacterium. RNAcentral's name for it is "partial 16S ribosomal RNA". It matches the Rfam family "Bacterial small subunit ribosomal RNA", at positions 29 to 507 of the family's 1533-position model. The record is from RNAcentral.